CUUGAUGAUGUUCAGUCAACAA
This 22-nucleotide non-coding RNA is filed under the name Arabidopsis thaliana (thale cress). The record is from RNAcentral. Lineage: Eukaryota; Viridiplantae; Streptophyta; Magnoliopsida; Brassicales; Brassicaceae.